Molecule: ribosomal RNA, 492 nt
Filed under: uncultured bacterium
Lineage: Bacteria
Description: partial 16S ribosomal RNA
Rfam family: Bacterial small subunit ribosomal RNA
Source: RNAcentral
AGUGAACGCUGGCGGUAGGCCUAACACAUGCAAGUCGAACGGCAGCACAGUAAGAGCUUGCUCUUACGGGUGGCGGGUGGCGGACGGGUGAGGAAUACAUCGGAAUCUACUUUUUCGUGGGGGGUAACGUAGGGAAACUUACGCUAAUACCGCAUACGACCUACGGGUGAAAGCAGGGGAUCUUCGGACCUUGCGCGAUUGAAUGAGCCGAUGUCGGAUUAGCUAGUUGGCGGGGUAAAGGCCCACCAAGGCGACGAUCCGUAGCUGGUCUGAGAGGAUGAUCAGCCACACUGGAACUGAGACACGGUCCAGACUCCUACGGGAGGCAGCAGUGGGGAAUAUUGGACAAUGGGCGCAAGCCUGAUCCAGCCAUACCGCGUGGGUGAAGAAGGCCUUCGGGUUGUAAAGCCCUUUUGUUGGGAAAGAAAAGCAGCAGGUUAAUACCCCGCUGUUCUGACGGUACCCAAAGAACAAGCACCGGCUAACUUCGUG